Scophthalmus maximus (turbot) is the source of this 2168-nucleotide long non-coding RNA. The record is from Ensembl. Lineage: Eukaryota; Metazoa; Chordata; Actinopteri; Pleuronectiformes; Scophthalmidae.
CAUGAAACAUAAUCGUUCAGCGUCGAAUAUCUCUAGUCAGUCGAAAUAUCCCGGUUAAAAAUACUAAUAAAAAAAUAUAUAGUAUUCGACAGGUUAGAAACGUGCGAUGUAGUAUAGUGUUUUUUUGUUUUUUUUUUUCAAAGAUGAUGAAAUCGAGACGUCAUCAUCUGCUGCGGAGCCACGAGGAAACAACCGCAACCGUCGCUUCCUUCUCAUCCUCCCGACUGUCGCCUGUCGCGGAGCUUCGACGAAGUCACACCAACUGUACCUGUUAGAAACCCCGUUGGCCUGGUGUCUCCGCCCACCGUUGGACCAACCAAUCAGCCUCCACCCCGACCCCCUCUCUCUCUCUCUCUCUCUCUCUCUCUCUCUCUCUAGAAAAGCUGAUCAAACAAACAAACAAACAUUAAUAGUGCUUAUUAGAUCACCUACUUGGACCAAUUUCCUGUCAACAUCUAUUCUAUCAUAUAACGCCACUUGUUGAUUCCGGUAUAUUAUGCCCAUGUUUGGUUUCUUGACAUGAUUAUAGCCUUUGCCCCAGUUAGUUCAGAUCUUCAGUGUCAUUUUGGCUGUGGCUCUCUUGUGUUUUAGAUUUAAGCUGAAGUCACUCACUCGUGGCGUAAAUAGGGGCCGAGGGAGAAAGUUGUCAUGCUGCAAAACCCUGUCAGAGCAACUCAGGCUGAAGACAUUUUGUCAAAAAUUGUUAGUAACAAGCAACAAAGUCGGAGCAAUUCUGCAAACCUUUCCUGAAGGUAAUGUAAUCGGUUGCAUACAGUACAGUAUGUGAGCCAUCUGUUUGUCACGUGACUGAUGCAUGAUUGCCGCACUGUCUUCACUAAUCUCAUUUAACCCCCCACUUCCUACACAUUUACCCCUUCUGUGAAUGUAGAACCCAAUUGCGCCCUUUUCUUUCCUUCAUCAACAACUGACUAUUCACCGAUCAAACUAAUCACUCUGAUAGGAUCAGUCUCACGUCAUUGUGCUGACCAAUUCAACAAAGUCAAGACAAAAUCCCCUUUUUCUUCAGCUUUGCUGUGGGCAACUAAAAAAACCAAAUCAUUUUUAUAAUUGUUACAUUCACUAAAUCUCUACUAGUAGAGGACAAAAUGGAUGCAUUGGAUGGUUUGCAUUAGCAAAUUCAGACAGUGACCUGUCUCCUAAGGUCCAGAGACAGCCAAGUCCCUUUGUUAUUAAAAUAAUAUAGAGUCAAUCUAUUCCCUAUUUUAAAAUGUUAGGUUGUAGUUGGCAUUGCUGCCAUUUUAUUUCAAUGUGCAGAAUAUAAUCUUUUUUUACCAAAUGGAUUUUGAUAAUCGAUAUUAUAUUUGUUAUAUAAUGUACAUUAAACUAGAGAGAGCACGUGUGAGCAGCUGACCUUACAACCGAUGCCGCCCUGUACCAGCCCGUGCUCUGAAGCCUUCCUCAGCUGUUGUUGACUUCGCUGAGUAACACUGACAGCAGAGUUCUGGGAAACCUACUCACAAACUCUUACUGUCACGCUACACAAACUGCCGUGACAUGUUCCAGCCAGGGGAUAUUUUUAUAGGUUACACGAUGUGCUUGAUAGUUUUUGCUUACAAUUCAAAGUGGAAGGCUGUGAAUGUUGUUGUUUUUCUCAGUAAGGUACAAUAUAGCUUGGGUCCAUAAUUCUAUCCGUGAGUAAAUAUGACCUGAAAUCAUUUUAUUCCAUCUAUCGUAAUGGUCUGGCGGGUGUUGUCAACAUUUCUCUACGUUUUCAAGGUGCAAGUACCAGUAUGCGUUGGCAAUGACUGAUAGGAUUUUGCAGGCUGACAGAAUCGCUAGUGUAGAAGAAGAAAAUAAAGACAAAAGCUUUUCAUGAUUUAUUGAUUGCUGAUUGGUAAAAUGUUAUUAUCUUCAUUUCCCACCUUGUCUUUACUUCCUGCCUGUCCUGCUCCCAUAUCUACAAUUUACUGUCUGUUUCUCCCUCAAAUGUGAAAAGAAGAGUUGACAUCUUUAUCACUACAUAAAGAUGUCAACUUUUCUUUAGGUAACUUUAGGAGCACGCUCCACCACUUUGCCAAGCGGUGACAGUAGCUGCAUGUUUGCGCUUGUCUUGUUCACUGAUAUGCUGUUGCUCACCGGCAUGGAGGUGUUUGUGUGUUGGCUUUUGUCUAGUAUAACAAACAAUCCACCAAAUAUGUUUUCUAUUU